Rosa chinensis is the source of this 155-nucleotide long non-coding RNA. RefSeq lists it as uncharacterized. Lineage: Eukaryota; Viridiplantae; Streptophyta; Magnoliopsida; Rosales; Rosaceae. The record is from RefSeq and is a predicted model, not a curated record. The transcript has 2 exons.
CUUCCUCACCUCCACGCUCACUCCCUCGCUUCCAACGCCGCCCUUGCCCUCCAAUUGAACACCCAUUCCUCCACCCGAGAACAGGCCCAAUUGAGAGAGGUGACAUUGCAGGAGGAAAAUGCUGCAUAUGAAAAGGCUAUAUCAAACUGUGAAAG